CUCUGAAACUGGAAAAAAAUGCAGACAAAUUUUCUAAAAUCUCCAAAUCUGUCAAGUUACUCUUCUUUUAGGUUUAUUAAAAAAUCGCCAAAUUCGAAAAAUUUAUUUUACAAAAAUAUCAGUGAAAUUAAACUGAAGAAUUUUAUAGAGAAGCAAUAAAAACAAAUGUACUCAGAAAAAGUCAUAGAAGCAAGUGAUACCAAUCUUACUGCUCUUCGAUGCUCCUUUUCCGAAUGAUACUACCAGUCUUGAUACUUUUUGAUUAGCCCUCGUAUUUUUGUAUCAAAAAUCAGUCUGCUCUUGGAGAGGAAAGGUAUUUUAACUCCUAUAGAUGUAAUAAUAACAAUAAUUACAUUAUGUUUACAUAAAUCAUGUAAGUGCUAUAAAAUACAACUAAAGGAUUUAGCAAAUUUGUAAAUGGCAAUUUAGUAAAUUUAAUACAGAAUAUAGGCUACAAAAACUAUAAAUAUUAACAGUGGAAUAGUUUUAUUAAAAGAAAUUUAAAACUAAUUCAAUUUUCAAGAAAUCCAUUAUUAGAUUAUAUUGGUCUGGGGACUUUUAAGUUGAAGAAAAUAGAAUAAUUAAUUAAAAUUAAUAAUUUCAAGAGGAACAUUUUUUUGUAUAGAAUAAACAUGAGUAGUCUUCAUGGAAAUGUGACAAAUGUAUAACAAUUUUUAACUAUUAUUCAAUUAAUUUAAAAUAUAGUUAAUGUUGUUGAUGUGGUACAUCACCUUUUACGAGGGCGUACCCAAAAAAAACCGAACUAUUUUUGUACAAAGUUAUUUAUUUAAUUUUUUUACAAAAAACAUUUAAUCUCCUUCAAAGUACUCUCCGUUGGAGAUAAUGCACUUGUCCAAUCUUUUGUUCCAAUUUUCGAAGCACUUUUUAUUUUUAACUUCAUCAAAGGAAGUCGCAGGGAGACAGGUUGGGUGAAUAGGGUGGAUGGGACACAGUGGUCAUAUCAUUUUUGGUCAAAAACCGCCAUACAGAAAGGGUUGUGUGAGCAGGAGCAUUAUGGUGAUGAAAAAACCAGUCUCCUGACUGCCACAAAUCAGGUCGUUUUCGCCUCAAACUGUUGCGUAAUCUUUUUAACACCUUUAGGUAAAAUGCCUGGUUAAAUGUCUGACCAGGUAGAACAAACU
Non-coding RNA from Cinara cedri, 1142 nucleotides. The record is from the annotation of a GenBank genome assembly. NCBI's taxonomy places the organism in Eukaryota, Metazoa, Arthropoda, Insecta, Hemiptera, Aphididae.